GCAUAUCAAUAAGCGGGAGGAAAAGAAACCAACCGGGAUUGCUCAGUAACGGCGAGUGAAGCGGCAAGAGCUCAAAUUUGAAAGCUGGCCCCUUCGGGGUCCGCGUUGUAAUUUGCAGAGGAUGCUUCGGGUGCGGCCCCUGUCUAAGUGCCCUGGAACGGGCCGUCAGAGAGGGUGAGAAUCCCGUCUUGGGCAGGGUGCCCGUGCCCGUGUGAAGCUCCUUCGACGAGUCGAGUUGUUUGGGAAUGCAGCUCUAAAUGGGUGGUAAAUUUCAUCUAAAGCUAAAUACCGGCCGGAGACCGAUAGCGCACAAGUAGAGUGAUCGAAAGAUGAAAAGCACUUUGAAAAGAGAGUUAAACAGCACGUGAAAUUGUUGAAAGGGAAGCGCUUGCGACCAGACUCGGCCCCGGGGUUCAGCCAGCACUCGUGCUGGUGUACUUCCCCGGGGGCGGGCCAGCGUCGGUUUGGGCGGCCGGUCAAAGGCCCCAGGAAUGUAUCGCCCUCCGGGGUUGUCUUAUAGCCUGGGGUGCAAUGCGGCCAGCCCGGACCGAGGAACGCGCUUCGGCACGGACGCUGGCGUAAUGGUCGCAAACGACCCGUCUUGAAACACGGACCAAGGAGUCUAACAUCUACGCGAGUGUUCGGGUGUCAAACCCGUACGCGCAGUGAAAGCGAACGGAGGUGGGAGCCCCCCCGGGGCGCACCAUCGACCGAUCCUGAUGUCUUCGGAUGGAUUUGAGUAAGAGCGUAGCUGUGGGGACCCGAAAGAUGGUGAACUAUGCCUGAAUAGGGCGAAGCCAGAGGAAACUCUGGUGGAGGCUCGCAGCGGUUCUGACGUGCAAAUCGAUCGUCAAAUUUGGGUAUAGGGGCGAAAGACUAAUCGAACCAUCUGGUAGCUGGUUCCUGCCGAAGUU
RNAcentral lists this ribosomal RNA (914 nucleotides) under Aspergillus nidulans var. acristatus. Its description in RNAcentral is "LSU rRNA". It matches the Rfam family "Eukaryotic large subunit ribosomal RNA", at positions 38 to 968 of the family's 3401-position model. The record is from RNAcentral. Lineage: Eukaryota; Fungi; Ascomycota; Eurotiomycetes; Eurotiales; Aspergillaceae.